AUGAGUUGCAAAACUCCCAAGACCUUUGUGAACCUUACCUAUACCGUUUCCUCGGCGGGCGGCGGCAAGCCGUGACCGGUUUCCCCCUCGCCCCUUUCAUCGGGGGCGGGAGGGAACAGGGCCCGCCGGAGGCACCCUAAACUCUUGUUUUCAGUUGGUCUCUCUGAGUCGUACUUUGUAAAUAAGUCA
Molecule: unclassified non-coding RNA, 189 nt
Filed under: uncultured fungus
Lineage: Eukaryota; Fungi
Description: sequence contains ITS1
Source: RNAcentral